This 791-nucleotide ribosomal RNA is filed under the name uncultured euryarchaeote. RNAcentral describes it as "bacterial SSU rRNA". It matches the Rfam family "Archaeal small subunit ribosomal RNA", at positions 63 to 859 of the family's 1478-position model. The record is from RNAcentral. Lineage: Archaea; Methanobacteriati; Methanobacteriota.
GUGUCUUCGGACGCCGGCGUACGGCUCAGUAACACGUAGGUAACCUAACCUCAGGACUGAGAUAACCCCGGGAAACUGGGGCUAAUAUUAGAUAGAUAAAAGGUACUGGAAUGUUCUUUUAUCCAAAGCUUUUGCGCCUGAGGAUGGGCCUGCGUCCGAUUAGGUUGUUGGUGGGGUAAUGGCCCACCAAGCCUACGAUCGGUACGGGCAGUGAGAGCUGAAGCCCGGAGUUGGGGACUGAGACAAGGCCCCAGGCCCUACGGGGCGCAGCAGGCGCGAAACCUCUGCAAUGCGGGAAACCGUGACAGGGGGAUCCCAAGUGCUCAUGCAUUGCAUGGGCUGUUCUUUGGUCUAAGUAACCAGAGGAGUAAGGGCUGGGCAAGACCGGUGCCAGCCGCCGCGGUAAUACCGGCAGCUCAAGUGGUAGCCGCGAUUAUUGGGCCUAAAGCGUUCGUAGCCGGAUAAGUAAGUCUUUGGUUAAAUCCUGCAACUUAACUGUGGGAAAUCUAGGGAUACUGCUUGUCUUGAGACCGGGAGAGGUUAGAGGUACUCCUAGGGUAGGGGUGAAAUCCUGUAAUCCUAGGGGGACCACCUGUGGCGAAGGCGUCUAACUGGAACGGGUCUGACGGUGAGGGACGAAACCUAGGGGAGCGAGCCGGAUUAGAUACCCGGGUAGUCCUAGGCGUAAAUGAUGCGAGUUAAGUGUGGGGGCAUCUACGAGAUGGCCCUGUGCUGUAGGGUAGCCGUUAAACUCGCCGCCUGGGGAGUACGGUCGCAAGGCUGAAACUUAA